Molecule: non-coding RNA, 86 nt
Organism: Podarcis lilfordi (Lilford's wall lizard)
Lineage: Eukaryota; Metazoa; Chordata; Lepidosauria; Squamata; Lacertidae
Source: the annotation of a GenBank genome assembly
AGAUGUUUUGGGACUUCAACUCCCAUCACCCCUAGCUAACAGGACCAGUGGUCAGGGAUGAUGGGAAUUGUAGUCCCAAAACAUCU